RNAcentral lists this long non-coding RNA (1640 nucleotides) under Equus caballus (horse). RNAcentral describes it as "lncRNA (ENSECAG00000044766.1)". Lineage: Eukaryota; Metazoa; Chordata; Mammalia; Perissodactyla; Equidae. The record is from RNAcentral.
GCUGGAUUGCAUCCUUUGUUCCGGCUGAGUGAUAUGCCAUUGUGUGGCUCUAGCCCAUCUUCCUUCUGCAUUCGUCCCUUGCUGGGCACCAGGGUUGCUUCCAAAUCUUGGAGAGCGGGAGUAAGGCUGUGCUGAACUCAGCGGUGCACAUGUCUUUAGGCAGUAGUUUUUCCGAGUUCUUCGGAUAAACACGACACAGAGGAAUAGCUGGAUCAUAGGGGACAUGGAUUCUUAAAUUUCUGAGGCGGUUCCACACGGCUUGGCAUAGUGGCUGCACCGGUUUACACUCCCACCAGCAGUGCAGGAGGCUUCCCUUCUUCGACCUCCUCUCUGAAACUUGUUGUUUCCUGUCUGGUUCCUUAUAGCCAUUCUGACCACAGUGAUCUGCUAUGUCCUUGCAGUUUGGAUUUGCAUUGGCCUGAGACUUAAUGGUGGUGAACAAGUUUUCAUGCAACUGUUGGCCCUCUUUAGAUCUUCUUGGGAGAAAUCUCUGUUUCCAUCUUUUGCCCAGGUUUUCAUUGGCUUGUUGUCUUUUUUCUUGUGGAGACUUGUGAGUUGAUUGUAUCUUUGGGCUUUUCAGCCCUUGUCCGAUGUGUGCUUUGCAAACAUCCUCUCCCAGUUGUUGUGGGGUCUUUGCAAUGAGUCGAUGGUUUCAUUGACUGGGCAGAAUCGUCUGCAUUUGAUGUGAUCCCGUUUGUUUCUUGUUUCCUUUGUUGCCCUUACCCAGUCAGACAUGCUUCUUCCAAAUAGGAUGCUCAGAGAGAUGGCAAAGAGCACUCUGCCUAGGUCUUCUCCUACAAGGUUCAAGGUCUCAAGUCUGCCAUUCAAGGCUUUAAUCCAUUUCGAGGUGGCAUGUGUGGCAGGUGUAACAUCAUGGUCUACUCUCGUUGUGUGCCAUGUGGCUGUGCAGGCUUCCCAGCACAGUUUCUUGUAGAGACUCUCCUUUCUCCACUGUCUCCUCUUGGCUCCCUGGUCGAAAAUGGGCUGUCCAUGUACGUUUGAGUUGGGCUCUGGGCUCUCGAUUCUCUUGCAUGGGUCUGUGUGCCAGUUUUUGGGCCCAGACUGUGCUGUUUUGGUUCCUAGUGCUUCGUCCUAUAUGUUGAAAUCAGAAAGUGUGAUACGUCCUGCUUUGUUCGUUUUCCCGAGGAUUCCUUUGCCAAUUCAGGGUCUCUUGUUGCCUCCUAGAAACUUUACGAUUCUCUCUUCUAUCUCUGUGGCACAUAUUGCUGCAACUUUGGGAUUGCAUGGAAUCCAGAGAUUCCUUUCUCCGGUAUGGACGUUUCAAGUGUGUUAUUUCUUCCAUGCCUAGAUCCCGGAAUAUCCUUCUUUAACCUUGUGUCUUCUUGAAUUUCUUUCCCCAAACGUUUGCUAAUUUCCGAUUGCCAUAGCUUUCACCUGUUUUGCUAAGGUUCUUCAUAGAGAUCUUAUUCUUCUCACUGGCAAGCUCUGUUUUUUUUUUUUUUUAGAUUCAGUUUUUCUAUUCUUUGCAAAAUUUAAUUUGGUUUUGUUUUGGCAGAAGUGCAUCGCUGAGCUCACAUCUGCUGGCAAUGCUCCUGUAUUUGCUGUGGAAGUCUGGCCCUGUCUAACGUCCCUGCCCAUCUGCCUCUACACUACCUCGGACGCCUGCUCCAGAAUGACUG